Talpa occidentalis (Iberian mole) is the source of this 1190-nucleotide long non-coding RNA. RefSeq lists it as uncharacterized. NCBI's taxonomy places the organism in Eukaryota, Metazoa, Chordata, Mammalia, Eulipotyphla, Talpidae. The record is from RefSeq and is a predicted model, not a curated record. The transcript has 3 exons.
GGACAUCCUUUCCCCCUAACAAUUGGUUAGUUCACCAUUGGUCUCUGUGUCUGUUUUUGUUCUAAUACUGUUUUCAUUAUAACAGCUUUGUAGUAUUCUUUGAUGUCUGGGAGUGUUAUACCUUGUGGGUCUGCCACUCCUAAGUGGAUUGUUUGGCCACCAUUUUGUCACCUAUAGUUCUAAGCAAGGUCAAGAUGGCCCGGUCAGUUAGAUGCAGAGCCCAACCCUUCAAGGUGCCCUUUCAAAUCAAACAAGAGCACAAAGCCGGAUUACGCUGGGAAGGCUAUGCAUCACGAGGUAGGACCAGGAACGCCUGGGGACCUGAGGACCAAUGCAUAACAAAGGACCCCAGAAGCUGAUCAGUGGAAGCCUUGUUGAUAAGAUUAGAACCUUGGCUGGGGAUUAGGGUGUGACCUCCAUGACAAUACAGAGUCAUCCAGUAGAGGAGAAGUGCCUGGAGGGCAGACUCACAAUCCCUGAUCUUCUACAUUCUUCCCCUUUCUUUCAUAUCCUAUCCCAUAAUCUCCUUCCCCUUUCUUUUGCUCCUCACCCUUACAACCGAUGCUGUGGAUCAAUAAGAAGGCCAGGAUCUUGUGCUUCAGCAGCAUCCUGCAUUGUCCCCGAUUGCUCCUGAGGGUGCUCCAAGCUGUGGGCUCAGCUCAGCCCGUGUCCUUGUCCAGCAGACAGUGGGCGCUCAGCAACAACAGGCUUACUUGCUGCACAGGCCAGAGACAAUUCCUUGAGAUCUAGAACAACGGAUGAGGGGAUGCCUCGGCAGUGUCUCCAGCAGUGCUCAGCCUCAAAAAUCUCUUCAGUGGCUCCCACUGUCCGCGCUCAGGCUAAAGUCCAAGCCUCCAGACAAGCUGAUGAGAGUCUUGCCAUCUGCUCCUGCUGUCUCAGGCCCGCGGCCCCUCUCUGACAACCUCCUUCUCUCUGGCUUCCCCAUUCACCUGACCGAGUCCGUGUCAAGGGUCAUUCCGCAGCAGCCCUGCUGGCCGCCCCCUCGGCCAGGAGCGUGUCAGGUGUCCCUUCCAGGGAAGGCUGUGGCGUCUCAAGCUCCCUGUCACAAUUCUUGUGGGUCUGUUGAGGUUCCCUGUGUCCCUGAUUGCUACUGAGGGUGCUCUGAGCUGUGGGCUUGACUCAGCCCGUGUCCUCAUCCAGCAGACAGUGGGCGCUCAGCAACAACAGGU